UUCAACAAGAGAAAACCAAAACGUGCAUACCAAAUUGGAGGUGACUCUCUUAUCACUAGUAUUUUCUGUAUCGUUAAUGAUUAAUGUAUCACACCUUUGGAAUAUGGAUACGUAUCGGUUAUCACAUGAGAUAUAUCGGUUGUAUCGUGUAAUUUAUUGUUGUAAACAUUAGGAAGUUGGUUAAAAAUUUCGGUGAAACUUUAGGGAUUAUUAAGAAAGACAUUAAUACACACUUUUAAAUCAUACCAUCUCAAAAAAGUGCACCUAAUAGAUUUCCUUUGUAUAGGGUGCUAAUCCAUGCAUUGUCUGACUAACUAAACUGAUGCAAGUAUAUUCAAAGUUAAUUAAUAUAAUUAAAAAAUUGUAAGAAGACAUGUAUGGAAACAUAACCAAUACAUUCAAAAGUAAAAGAAGUAGAAUUUUAGAAAUAUACCCGUGAAUGAGAGCUGCACAGUGGCUCAAAAUCAUCAUCUUUAUCUUGACGGGGCUAGGAAUAGUACUGUUGCUCCACAAAUUAACAAUAUUGUGUCUAGGUUAUAGUAGAAUGGUAUGAACAAAGAUACUUUCAGACAUAAUGCUGGUUCUCAUCCUCUUGGAUUUGAGCUAGUAUGCCCAUCCAUGGGUACUGCGUAACUAUCGUAGUCUGGCUGAUAUGGACUUGGGGUGGGUACAUAUGUGGCUCUUGACUAUCUACAUUGUUGCCCAUAUCCAUACUAUGGAUAUCCCUGCCCAUAUGGAAGUGAGCUCUUGACCGUAAUUGAAAAACAAUGCGCCAUAACUGUCGGAGUUGCUCACUGCACACUGAAAUUUUUUGAUUUUUCCCCAAUUUCUCCCAAAUUGGAUCACUUACCCCUAAAUCCCAAAACUAGAGUGUGUGUGAUGAUGAUUUCAUCAAACACUCCUAAAACUUUGAAAUUGGGUCCAAUUGACCGCUGAUAGAAGUAGAAUUUCGAAAAAAAUUAUUUGUAAAUAUUUUAAACUAAUUUUGAGUAAAAUAAUAAUUUUUUAACUAAAAAAAUUAAAUCCAAUUUUGAUCGAGGUCAAUUCCAAAGUCAAGGGCCUCAUAUCGGUUGGGCAGUCUAUGUAAAGGCAACUUUGGCUGCCCUAUACUUUUGAAUCUUUCCUUCUUCAGCUUUUGGAUUGUAUUCUUUUCUCGCACUUCGCAAGUUUUUUUUUU
Magnolia sinica is the source of this 1177-nucleotide long non-coding RNA. RefSeq lists it as uncharacterized. The record is from RefSeq and is a predicted model, not a curated record. The transcript is spliced from 2 exons. Lineage: Eukaryota; Viridiplantae; Streptophyta; Magnoliopsida; Magnoliales; Magnoliaceae.